GUAGAGCACUGAAUUUCCUAGGGGGCGUCAAAGCCUACCGAAGAAUAUCAAACUGCGAAUGGCGGACAGAUGAUGCCAGGGAGUCAGACUGCACGAGAUAAGUUGGGUGGUCAAAAGGGAAAGAGCCCAGACCUACAGCUAAGGUCCCAAAGUGUGUGUUAAGUGGAAAAGGAUGUGGGAUUUCGAAGACAACUAGGAUGUUGGCUCAGAAGCAGCCACACAUUAAAAGAGUGCGUAAUAGCUCACUAGUCGAGAGGUCCUGCGCCGAAAAUGUCCGGGGCUAAAACACAACACCGAAGCUUAGGAAUUCUUUUGAAUUGGUAGAGGAGCAUUGAAGACGGAACGAAGCCAUACCGAAAGGAAUGGUGGACUGUCUUGAAGAGAGAAUGCCGGAAUGAGUAGCGAGAUUGAAGUGAGAAUCUUCAAGGCCGAAUAUCUAAGGUUUCCAGGGUAAAGCUGAUCUGCCCUGGGUAAGUCGGGGCCUAAGGCAAGGUCGAAAGACGUAGUCGAUGGAUAACAGGUUGAAAUUCCUGUACUGCAUCAAAUCAGAAAUGUGGGGACACAUGAGGGAAGCAUGAGCCGGAAAAGGAAAGUCCGGUACAAGCGCAGCAGAGGACAGAUAGGCAAAUCCGUCUGUCAACUCAAGGGCGCGAUGUGGAGCGAACCAAAGUAGCGAAGCAUGUGGAGCUUGUGUCGAGAAAAGCCGCUAUAGUGUUUGAUGUACCCGUACCGUAAACCGACACAGGUGGAUGAGGAGAGAAUCCUAAGGCCGGCGGGAGAAGCAUUGUUAAGGAACUCGGCAAAAUGACCCCGUAACUUCGGGAGAAGGGGUGCUCCAGAGAUGGAGCCGCAGAGAACUGGCCCAAGCAACUGUUUAGCAAAAACACAGGUCUAUGCAAAACCGAAAGGUGAGGUAUAUGGGCUGACGCCUGCCCGGUGCUGGAAGGUUAAGAGGAGAUGUUAGCCGCAAGGUGAAGCAUUGAAUUUAAGCCCCAGUAAACGGCGGCCGUAACUAUAACGGUCCUAAGGUAGCGAAAUUCCUUGUCGGGUAAGUUCCGACCCGCACGAAAGGCGUAAUGAUUUGGGCACUGUCUCGACAAUGCACCCGGUGAAAUUGAAAUACCAGUGAAGAUGCUGGUUACCUGCGCCAGGACGGAAAGACCCCAUGGAGCUUUACUCUAGCUUGAUACUGGGGUUCGGUAUUGCAUGUACAGGAUAGGUGGGAGACUGAGAAGAUGUGUCGCCAGAUGCAUCAGAGUCGAUGUUGGGAUACCACCCCUGCAGUACUGGGCUUCUAACCUGCAGCCGUGACCCGGCUGGGGGACAAUGUCUGGUGGGGAGUUUGACUGGGGCGGUCGCCUCCGAAAGAGUAUCGGAGGCGCUCAAAGGUUCCCUCAGAAUGGUUGGAAACCAUUCGAAGAGCGCAAAGGCAGAAGGGAGCUUGACUGCGACACCGACGGGUGGAGCAGGUACGAAAGUAGGACUUAGUGAUCCGGUGGUAUGAAAGUGGGAUUGCCAUCGCUCAACGGAUAAAAGCUACCCUGGGGAUAACAGGCUUAUCACUCCCAAGAGUUCACAUCGACGGAGUGGUUUGGCACCUCGAUGUCGGCUCAUCGCAUCCUGGGGCUGUAGUAGGUCCCAAGGGUUGGGCUGUUCGCCCAUUAAAGCGGUACGCGAGCUGGGUUCAGAACGUCGUGAGACAGUUCGGUCCCUAUCCGGCGUGGGCGUAGGAUAUCUGAGAGGAGCUGUCCUUAGUACGAGAGGACCGGGAUGGACUGACCUCUGGUGCACCGGUUGCAUUGCCAAAUGCAUAGCCGGGUAGCCAAGUCGGGACGGGAUAAACGCUGAAGGCAUCUAAGCGUGAAGCCCCCCUCAAGAUGAGAUAUCCCAUAACAUAAGUUAGUAAGACCCCUUGA
Molecule: ribosomal RNA, 1916 nt
Filed under: metagenome
Description: bacterial LSU rRNA
Rfam family: Bacterial large subunit ribosomal RNA
Source: RNAcentral